GACGAACGCUGGCGGCGUGCUUAACACAUGCAAGUCGAACGGAAAGGCCCUGCUUUUGUGGGGUGCUCGAGUGGCGAACGGGUGAGUAACACGUGAGUAACCUGCCCUUGACUUUGGGAUAACUUCAGGAAACUGGGGCUAAUACCGGAUAGGAGCUCCUGCUGCAUGGGGGGGGUUGGAAAGUUUCGGCGGUUGGGGAUGGACUCGCGGCUUAUCAGCUUGUUGGUGGGGUAGUGGCUUACCAAGGCUUUGACGGGUAGCCGGCCUGAGAGGGUGACCGGCCACAUUGGGACUGCGAUACGGCCCAGACUCGUACGGGAGGCAGCAGUGGGGAAUAUUGCACAAUGGGCGGACGCCUGAUGCAGCAACGCCGCGUGCGGGAUGACGGCCUUCGGGUUGUAAACCGCUUUCGCCUGUGACGAAGCGUGAGUGACGGUAAUGGGUAAAGAAGCACCGGCUAACUACGUG
This 468-nucleotide ribosomal RNA is filed under the name uncultured bacterium. Its description in RNAcentral is "partial 16S ribosomal RNA". It matches the Rfam family "Bacterial small subunit ribosomal RNA", at positions 28 to 507 of the family's 1533-position model. The record is from RNAcentral.